This 589-nucleotide long non-coding RNA is filed under the name Homo sapiens (human). RNAcentral's name for it is "non-protein coding WT1-AS:5". The stretch from base 332 to 565 matches the Rfam family "WT1 antisense RNA conserved region 3". The record is from RNAcentral. Lineage: Eukaryota; Metazoa; Chordata; Mammalia; Primates; Hominidae.
GAACUCCUUACCCCAGCUGCCUGGCUGCCCUCAGCUUCCCAAAGCUCAAAUAAGAGGGGCCGGCGGCGCGGGGAAGAGGAGGAGCCAGGAGGCUCGGCCGCUCCAUUCACUCAGCAGCCCAAGCCCGGCCAGGCAGCGCGCGCUGCUCCUUGGGGGCGCCCUCGCAGCUGGGGUGAGGGCGGGUCCGAGGGAGCGUCCCUCUCGGAGACACCCUCCUCUUCAACCCAACACGCGCUCUCAGCUGGCCGGUGUGGCACAACCCUCCCCCCACCUCCCCUUCUUGGCCUUCGCCAGUGUGGGAGCCUCGUCUCACUGGAGAGUCCGUUCAGGCAAGGAGAAGAACCGGGGGCCGGAGCGGAGCGUGUUUCAGAGGUGCGUAUAAAAUCCCAGGGGCGCCAGGAGGCAGCAGCGACGGCGCAGCGUGGGACGGCCAGGCGCGACGGGAGGGAAGCAACCGGUUGCAGUCCGGCCUCCUGUACCUGGCUGGCCCGGGCUGGGGCUGCAAGCUUUCCAGCCAAACUUAUGUGAAGCAAAGUAGUUGCAGUUUGACAAAGAAUGGCGUUUCAAUAAAUGACAUAGUAAUUUUUUA